This 513-nucleotide ribosomal RNA is filed under the name Triticum aestivum (bread wheat). RNAcentral's name for it is "partial small subunit ribosomal RNA". Lineage: Eukaryota; Viridiplantae; Streptophyta; Magnoliopsida; Poales; Poaceae. The record is from RNAcentral.
AUGAAUCUUGGUCUCACCUUCAGCAAGUCCUCAUCUACACUUGUCAGUGCUUUCUCUGACUCUGAUUGGGCAGGAUGCCUAGAUGAUAGACGUUCUACUGGUGGGUUUGCAGUGUUCUUUGGACCCAACCUCAUAUCAUGGUGUGCAAGAAAACAAGCAACCGUAUCAAGGUCAAGUACAGAGGCUGAGUAUAAGGCAUUGGCAAAUGCCACAGCAGAAAUCAUUUGGGUUCAGUCCAUGCUGAAAGAGCUUGGUGUGAAGCACAGUCAAGCUCCAUGUUUGUGGUGUGACAAUCUUGGUGCCACCUAUCUGUCUGCUAAUCCGGUCUUUCAUGCAAGGACAAAACACAUUGAAAUAGAUUUUCAUUUUGUGAGAGAACGUGUUGCUAAUAAACAAUUGGAAAUUCGUUUUGUGCAUUCAAGGGACCAGGUUGCAGAUGGCUUCACCAAGGCACUACCUACAAGGAAUCUUGAAGAAUUCAAACGUAAUCUCAACUUGCGAAGUUGUGAUUAA